Molecule: ribosomal RNA, 431 nt
Filed under: Bacillus sp. oral taxon C03
Lineage: Bacteria; Bacillati; Bacillota; Bacilli; Caryophanales; Bacillaceae
Description: bacterial SSU rRNA
Rfam family: Bacterial small subunit ribosomal RNA
Source: RNAcentral
GACGAACGCUGGCGGCGUGCCUAAUACAUGCAAGUCGAGCGAACCAAUAAGAAGCUUGCUUUUUGUUGGUUAGCGGCGGACGGGUGAGUAACACGUGGGUAACCUGCCUGUAAGACCGGGAUAACUCCGGGAAACCGGUGCUAAUACCGGAUAGAUUAUCUUUCCGCCUGGAGAGAUAAGGAAAGAUGGCUAUUGCCACCACUUACAGAUGGGCCCGCGGCGCAUUAGCUAGUUGGUAAGGUAACGGCUCACCAAGGCGACGAUGCGUAGCCGACCUGAGAGGGUGAUCGGCCACACUGGGACUGAGACACGGCCCAGACUCCUACGGGAGGCAGCAGUAGGGAAUCUUCCGCAAUGGACGAAAGUCUGACGGAGCAACGCCGCGUGAGUGAAAGAAAGGUCUUCGGAUCGUAAAAGCUCUGUUGUUGGGG